This 628-nucleotide ribosomal RNA is filed under the name Desmognathus fuscus (dusky salamander). RNAcentral's name for it is "partial small subunit ribosomal RNA". The stretch from base 489 to 556 matches the Rfam family "tRNA". Lineage: Eukaryota; Metazoa; Chordata; Amphibia; Caudata; Plethodontidae. The record is from RNAcentral.
CCCACUAUGCUCAACCUUAAAUGGAUACUCCCGCAGAGCAUUNCGAGCUACAGCUUAAAACUCAAAGGACUUGGCGGUGCUCUAUACCCACCUAGAGGAGCCUGUUCUAUAAUCGACACCCCCCGAUAAACCUCACCAUUUCUCGCUACUACAGCCUAUAUACCACCGCCCUCAGUUCAUCUUUCAAAAGAAUAAUAAUGAACAAAAUGAUUAAAAAUAAAAAAGUCAGGUCAAGGUGUAGCAAAUGAAAUGGAAAGAAAUGGGCUACAUUUUUUAUAAUAAAAAACACGGAAUAUUAUAUGAAAUAAAAUAUAAAGAAGGAUUUAGAAGUAAAAAGAAAAAAGAGUGUUCUUUUUAAAUUGGCAAUAAAGCACGCACACACCGCCCGUCACCCUUUUCAAAAUAUAUAAAACUUAAAUAAAUAUAUAAACUUACAAGAAAAGGUAAGUCGUAACAUGGUAAGUCUACCGGAAGGUGGCCUUAGAUAUCAAAAUAUAGCUUAAAUAAAGCAUUUUGCUUACACCAAAAAAAUAUUUGUUAAACCAAAUUAUUUUGAAUUUNUAAAUCUAGCCUAAAUAUAUAAUACUAAUUCCUAAUACACAAAACAUUAUCAUAUGAUAGUAAGGGC